RNAcentral lists this ribosomal RNA (253 nucleotides) under uncultured bacterium. RNAcentral describes it as "partial 16S ribosomal RNA". It matches the Rfam family "Bacterial small subunit ribosomal RNA", at positions 524 to 776 of the family's 1533-position model. The record is from RNAcentral.
GACAUAGGGUGCAAACGUUGUUCGGAAUUACUGGGCGUAAAGCGCGUGUAGGCUGCUCUGCAAGUCGGAUGUGAAAGCCCUGGGCUCAACCUAGGAAGUGCAUUCGAAACUGCAGAGCUGGAGUCCUGGAGAGGAAGGCGGAAUUCUCGGUGUAGAGGUGAAAUUCGUAGAUAUCGAGAGGAACACCGGUGGCGAAGGCGGCCUUCUGGACAGUGACCGACGCUGAGACGCGAAAGCGUGGGGAGCGAACAGG